UGCCAGACUCCUACGGGAGGCAGCAGUGGGGAAUAUUGCACAAUGGGGGAAACCCUGAUGCAGCGACGCCGCGUGAGUGAAGAAGUAAUUCGUUAUGUAAAGCUCUAUCAGCAGGGAAGAAAAUGACGGUACCUGAGUAAGAAGCCCCGGCUAACUACGUGCCAGCAGCCGCGGUAAUACGUAGGGGGCAAGCGUUAUCCGGAUUUACUGGGUGUAAAGGGAGCGUAGACGGCAAUACAAGUCGGAAGUGAAAUACCCGGGCUCAACCUGGGAACUGCUUUGGAAACUGUAUGGCUAGAGUGCUGGAGAGGUAAGCGGAAUUCCUAGUGUAGCGGUGAAAUGCGUAGAUAUUAGGAGGAACACCAGUGGCGAAGGCGGCUUACUGGACAGUAACUGACGUUGAGGCUCGAAAGCGUGGGGAGCAAACAGGAUUAGAUACCCGAGUAA
This 447-nucleotide ribosomal RNA is filed under the name uncultured bacterium. RNAcentral's name for it is "bacterial SSU rRNA". It matches the Rfam family "Bacterial small subunit ribosomal RNA", at positions 329 to 793 of the family's 1533-position model. The record is from RNAcentral.